AUGAAAAUUUUACAANUUAAUUGCAGCAUUUUCAUUCCUUGCUGUAUUUGGAGUUGUACAAUCAUUUACUCCGGAUGAAUUUCAAGAUGCUGUGUGCUCAAUACCCGAUAAAUAUCUACUCAGAUUUCUAAAUUGCACUAUUAAUCGUGCCCCAAAAAUCGUUCAAAAGGCAGCCGAUGUCAUGCAUGAAUGCGUAGAUUCAUUUUAUGAAGUCGAUGGAAAAUUGGAUGCUCUUUUAACAGUUUCUUGUGAUAAUAAUGUACAGGCAGACAAGGAUAUUGGUGAAUGUUUCGAUGAAAAAGCCGAGGAUCUAGGCAACCCAGACCGACAAGAUAUUUCAACAA
Molecule: long non-coding RNA, 344 nt
Organism: Centruroides sculpturatus (bark scorpion)
Lineage: Eukaryota; Metazoa; Arthropoda; Arachnida; Scorpiones; Buthidae
Exons: 5
Source: RefSeq, a predicted model, not a curated record